Molecule: ribosomal RNA, 252 nt
Filed under: uncultured bacterium
Lineage: Bacteria
Description: partial 16S ribosomal RNA
Rfam family: Bacterial small subunit ribosomal RNA
Source: RNAcentral
UACGGAGGAUGCGAGCGUUAUCCGGAUUUAUUGGGUUUAAAGGGUGCGUAGGCGGAUCGUUAAGUCAGUGGUCAAAUUGAGGGGCUCAACCCCUUCCCGCCAUUGAAACUGGCGAUCUUGAGUGGAAGAGAAGUAUGCGGAAUGCGUGGUGUAGCGGUGAAAUGCAUAGAUAUCACGCAGAACCCCGAUUGCGAAGGCAGCAUGCCGGCUUCCUACUGACGCUGAAGCACGAAAGCGUGGGGAUCGAACGGG